RNAcentral lists this transfer RNA (71 nucleotides) under Phrynosoma platyrhinos (Desert horned lizard). Its description in RNAcentral is "tRNA-OTHER". Lineage: Eukaryota; Metazoa; Chordata; Lepidosauria; Squamata; Phrynosomatidae. The record is from RNAcentral.
GCCAGCAUGAUGUAGUGGUUUGAAUAUUGGACUAUGACUCUGAAGACCAGGGUUCGAUUCCCUGCUUGGCC